This 254-nucleotide ribosomal RNA is filed under the name uncultured bacterium. RNAcentral's name for it is "partial 16S ribosomal RNA". It matches the Rfam family "Bacterial small subunit ribosomal RNA", at positions 524 to 776 of the family's 1533-position model. The record is from RNAcentral.
UACGUAGGGGGCGAGCGUUGUCCGAAGUUACUGGGCGUAAAGCGCGCGUAGGCGGGGGAUUAAGUGAGAGGUGAAAGGCUGGGGCUCAACCUCAUGCAGUGCCUCUCAUACUGGUCUUCUUGAGGGCGGUAGGGAGAAGUGGAAUGGCUGGUGUAGCGGUGAAAUGCGCAGAUAUCAGGAGGAACACCGGUGGCGAAGGCGGUUCUCUGGGCGUGUCCUGACGCUGAGGAGCGAAAGUGUGGGGAGCGAACAGG